Molecule: long non-coding RNA, 174 nt
Organism: Cottoperca gobio
Lineage: Eukaryota; Metazoa; Chordata; Actinopteri; Perciformes; Bovichtidae
Exons: 3
Source: RefSeq, a predicted model, not a curated record
GGAAGAAGCCGGACGUCCCAUGCACAUAAAGGAGAUUAAGCAGAGAAUCAUCGACAGGGGACUUGUUCAAUCCAAUGCAAAGUCAAGCCUGGAAGCAGUCAUGUACCGUGAGACACAAAAAGGCAGCAGGAGAUUCAAGAGGAUUGAGAACAGAAACGGAGUCUUUGCACUGCU